ACAACUGGGAUCUCUUCAGUAAUUGCGCAUGAACCAGGAUAUGCUUAGCUUGACAAAUGGAGCUGCUGGCUCUGAAUUGUAUUGUGGGGAUGUAUUACCAACAGAGGUGCAGGUGUCAGCCAUUUGAAAGAAAGCAUCAAUGAGGGUGAGAGUCCUGUUUGUCAUGUGCAGCCUUCUGUGCACGGUAUAUAUUUGCUGAGUCACACUCCUUGGCAUUGGAAUGCAAAGUGGGUGGUAAGUUUCAUGCAAAGGUAAAUAUGCAAUUGAGACUGAUAGCGCACAAGUACCAUGAGGGACAUAUGAAAAGGACUUUGAACAGAGAAUUAAAUGAGUUUGUAUUUGCUAAACACAAAGUAAACAGACUUGAUUUCCUCAGUGAGAUUGUAGUGCUUGCUUGACAAUGGGUUUUGGCUGCAAGUGCAAUAAUUCUUGCUUUGUGUGCCAGUUUUUAUGUGGACAUUUGAUUACCUUGGCACAUGAAUGGUAAUUUUCCUGCGGGGUGUGGAUUGCAUAUGCAUGUAAUGAUUUGCAUGUUUGUUAAAUGUGUCUGGUGUAUUUGUUUGUGUCCUUGUCCUUGAGGUUGCUUUCUCCCUUGGGCUUACAUGCCCUGGCACACACAUUCUGGCAAAAUGCUUCUGCUUGACCCGUCUUGAAA
RNAcentral lists this ribosomal RNA (655 nucleotides) under Alexandrium tamarense. RNAcentral's name for it is "LSU rRNA". It matches the Rfam family "Eukaryotic large subunit ribosomal RNA", at positions 65 to 659 of the family's 3401-position model. The record is from RNAcentral. Lineage: Eukaryota; Dinophyceae; Gonyaulacales; Pyrocystaceae.